RNAcentral lists this microRNA precursor (94 nucleotides) under Scleropages formosus (Asian bonytongue). Its description in RNAcentral is "mir-146 microRNA precursor family". It matches the Rfam family "mir-146 microRNA precursor family". Lineage: Eukaryota; Metazoa; Chordata; Actinopteri; Osteoglossiformes; Osteoglossidae. The record is from Rfam by way of RNAcentral.
ACGAGCGUCCGGCUCUGAGAACUGAAUUCCAUAGAUGGUGGGUUACAGAGCGGACGCAUCUAUGGACUCAGUUCUUUUGGCCUGGGGUUCGCGC